Molecule: non-coding RNA, 599 nt
Organism: Pantherophis guttatus
Lineage: Eukaryota; Metazoa; Chordata; Lepidosauria; Squamata; Colubridae
Source: the annotation of a RefSeq genome assembly
UGAACUUUCUGGGAGCAAAAAUGAAACUGUGGCUAAACUUUGUGUCCUUACUAGCAGUCCUCAGAGGUGUGCAAUCUGAGAUUCAGUUGGUGGAAUCUGGAGGGGAUGUGAGAAGACCUGAAGAAUCCCUCCGUCUCUCCUGUCAAGCCUCUGGAUUCACCUUCAACAGCUCCUGGAUGUACUGGGUGAGACAGGCUCCAGGGAAAGGACUGGAAUGGGUGUCACACAUAAACUACAAUUCCGGUACUAUUCACUACAAUGACAAAGUGAAGGGCUGCUUCACCAUCUCCAGGGACAAUGCCAAAAGCCAGCUGUAUCUGCAAAUGAACAGCCUCAAACCAGAGGACACGGCAGUCUAUUACUGCUCAACUUACACAGGCACACGUAUUUACUACUCAGACAAAGUGAAGGGCCGCUUCACCAUCUCCAGGGACGAUGCCAAAAGCCAGUUGUAUCUGCAAAUGAACAGCCUCAAGCCAGAGGACACAGCAGUCUAUUACUGUGCAAGAUACACAGUGAGAGGAAGUGGUUCUGAAACCAAAAAAAGAACCUUCUGUCUCAUAGCAGAUCUCCAAGUGGAUUCAGUUACAGAAAGUUGA